RNAcentral lists this ribosomal RNA (319 nucleotides) under uncultured eukaryote. RNAcentral's name for it is "partial 18S ribosomal RNA". It matches the Rfam family "Eukaryotic small subunit ribosomal RNA", at positions 1470 to 1796 of the family's 1831-position model. The record is from RNAcentral.
CCCUUAGAUGUUCUGGGCCGCACGCGUGCUACACUGAGUGGAUCAGCGGGUCAGGUUGCGCGAAAGUGUUUCCUAAUCUUUAAAUCCGCUCGUGAUGGGGAUUGACGGUUGCAAUUUUCCGUCAUGAACGAGGAAUACCUUGUAAGCGCGGGUCAUCAUCCCGCGCUGAAUACGUCCCUGCCCUUUGUACACACCGCCCGUCGCUCCUACUGAUUGAGUGUCUCGGUGAAUUCUUUGAUCUUCUGUCGAUUCAGUUCACUGAUCCGACGGUGGAAAGUUGAAUGAACUUCGUCACUUAGAGGAAGGAGAAGUCGUAACA